Non-coding RNA from Felis catus (domestic cat), 85 nucleotides. The record is from Rfam. NCBI's taxonomy places the organism in Eukaryota, Metazoa, Chordata, Mammalia, Carnivora, Felidae.
GCCUGGGUGGCUCAGUCGGUUAAGCGUCUGACUUCGGCUCAGGUCAUGAUCUCGCGAUCCGUGAGUUCAAGCCCCGCGUCGGGCU